Prionailurus viverrinus (fishing cat) is the source of this 288-nucleotide long non-coding RNA. RefSeq lists it as uncharacterized. The record is from RefSeq and is a predicted model, not a curated record. NCBI's taxonomy places the organism in Eukaryota, Metazoa, Chordata, Mammalia, Carnivora, Felidae. The transcript is spliced from 3 exons.
UCUCAAAGGAUUUGUCUCUCACCUUGUAAACAAGUGACAUUAAACUAAUUAGGUCAAUUUGGUAUGUUCAAUUACUGGGAAGCAUUGUCAGGCAGGUUUUACUCUGAUGCUUUCACAAAGAUGCUUCAUUCUUCAGAGAGUCAUGAGAGGACUUUGACAGGGCAGAUUUGAAAACAUUGGUUUUAUUACCAAGGCUUUGGCUGGAAUACCUUAUUUGAGAAUAUACAUAAAAUCAGUUGUGAUUCAGACAGUUUUAAGAAACUAAGCCAACUAAGGUGGAUUUUACAG